UACGUAGGGUGCGAGCGUUGUCCGGAAUUAUUGGGCGUAAAGAGCUUGUAGGCGGUUUGUCGCGUCUGCCGUGAAAAUCCGGGGCUCAACCCCGGACUUGCGGUGGGUACGGGCAGACUAGAGUGUGGUAGGGGAGACUGGAAUUCCUGGUGUAGCGGUGAAAUGCGCAGAUAUCAGGAAGAACACCCGUGGCGAAGGCGGCUCUCUGGGACGGUACUGACGCUGAGACGCGAAAGCGUGGGGAGCGAACAGG
Molecule: ribosomal RNA, 253 nt
Filed under: uncultured bacterium
Lineage: Bacteria
Description: partial 16S ribosomal RNA
Rfam family: Bacterial small subunit ribosomal RNA
Source: RNAcentral